CAACGCAUUACUCGUAGCCAUGAUGAGUACUUGUCUGAGGACCAUAUUGGAGAGAAAAGUCCCCAAAAAAUGUUGCAUCAUCUGAACAAAACAUAAGUAAUAAAGAAGACCAUUUAGAUAGCAGAAGCGAUAAUGAGUCCCAAGACAUAACUAUGUCAAAUAACAUAAAUGGAGAGGACCAACUUGAUGGCGCUGAUGAGGUUAAAGAGGUUAAAAGGCGUGGGAAGACAAAACUUAUUAAUGUUUGGAACAUUCCAAGAGGCCAUAGGGUUGUAGUUAACUGUAAUGAGCUGAAUCAGCCUAUCGGAGAAGAGGCAGGAGUCCUUGCAAAAUUCCUUGGCAUGGUUGCUAGGAAUGGCUCCUUGUGUAGCUUAAGCUUCAAGGAUUGGAGACUACUUAUAGGAAAGAAAGAUAGGAACCAUAAACAAAUCAAUAAGGAGGCCAUUCUUAAUCAAGUAAAGAAGAGAUUUCUUUACCCUGCCCGCAUGGAAACAUGGGUGCUGCGAACAAUUGGAGAGCG
Molecule: long non-coding RNA, 520 nt
Organism: Zea mays
Lineage: Eukaryota; Viridiplantae; Streptophyta; Magnoliopsida; Poales; Poaceae
Exons: 3
Source: RefSeq, a predicted model, not a curated record